This 73-nucleotide transfer RNA is filed under the name Pteropus alecto (black flying fox). It matches the Rfam family "tRNA". Rfam says of the family: Transfer RNA (tRNA) molecules are approximately 80 nucleotides in length. Their secondary structure includes four short double-helical elements and three loops (D, anti-codon, and T loops). Further hydrogen bonds mediate the characteristic L-shaped molecular structure. tRNAs have two regions of fundamental functional importance: the anti-codon, which is responsible for specific mRNA codon recognition, and the 3' end, to which the tRNAs corresponding amino acid is attached (by aminoacyl-tRNA synthetases). tRNAs cope with the degeneracy of the genetic code in two manners: having more than one tRNA (with a specific anti-codon) for a particular amino acid; and 'wobble' base-pairing, i.e. permitting non-standard base-pairing at the 3rd anti-codon position. The record is from Rfam by way of RNAcentral. RNAcentral also lists the same sequence under 1 other name. Lineage: Eukaryota; Metazoa; Chordata; Mammalia; Chiroptera; Pteropodidae.
AGUUCCAUAAUGCAGUGGUUAGCACAUCUGCUUUACACACAGAAGGUCCUGGGUUCAUGUCCCAGUGGAGCCA